This 3797-nucleotide unclassified non-coding RNA is filed under the name Leishmania donovani. Its description in RNAcentral is "gene:LdHU3.36.0930(CDS-product:hypothetical_prote in_conserved)". Lineage: Eukaryota; Euglenozoa; Kinetoplastea; Trypanosomatida; Trypanosomatidae. The record is from RNAcentral.
CGGCCAAGACCUGAACUCGUGCGCGCUCUGCCGCUGCUUUAGACGUGCAGCUGCAACGUUUGUCUGUCACUGCCCCGCAAACUGGAAACAAAAGGGUGGUGGAGGACAACCUUCGCCGUCUGCUCUUUCUCCUUCUCUGUGCAAUGAGCAGAAGCUAUUCCCCGCUUGGUUGUGGCCUUAUCGUGCACGGUGCUCUUAUUUCACCGUCUCCUUCCGCCUCUCACGCUCUUGUGUACUCUCAUCUCCCUCGCCUUCGUUAGAUGCUAGAUUUCCUGUCUCUCUGGCCUUUUUUCGUUUAAACAUAUGCCGAGCGCUGCUCUCGUCCUCUAAAGAGCUGCUAUCGACUACCUGGUGAUGCGUAAGUUUGCGAAGUGAUCUUUCGGCACAAAAAAGGAAACCAAAGGUGCUGCUUCCAAAGACAGCUACCGCCCCCCUCCCCCCAAAUCGAUAGAAAGCGGUGCCCUCUUUGCAGGCGGCGGGGUGACACUUUCAGUAUUUCAAUCUGCCAAGAUGUUUGCGGACUUGUUGGCCACAACCUCUUGUCAUGCGGGUGAUCGCAGCAGCGACGUGGGAGUCGCCCCGGUUUCACCACCUUUUUCUCCGCGCUGCACUUCAGCGUCUUCGUCCGCUGGAAGCAGCAGCGGCUGCCACCGCCGCCGACUUUCUGCCGGCGGCGAUGACGGCUCCUACUCACGCGUCUUGCCCUUCUCGCCCCUCGUGGGAACUGCGAACCCGUCUGCACACACGGAUGGUCGAGCGCGGCGACCUGGCUUCUCCGAGUGCCCGAGCCCUCUUAGCAUCCCUGAAGGGUGCGCAUCAUCGACGACGGCCAUGGUCAGCCCAUCCAGUGGCCACCCAGAAGGGCACAGCUUGUCGCUCGGGGGUACCAGCGAGCCGCCACCGAGGAGAUCAUCCGGUGGCACGCUAAGGAACAGCCUGGAGGGAUACAUCCCCACGUCGGACUUUUCCUCCUUUUCUUCGCACCACGGCGAUAGUGCGCGCUCGCCGCCAUCGAGCACGCGUACGCUGUCGCUCUACGACCACGGGCAGAAGGCGUCGGGCGUUGCGUCUUCUACCCCAUCUCGAGGAGCCACUCCUCUUCUCCCUGAGGGCGGCGCCAGUCCAGCUCUGGACGGCGCGGAAUCCAGCGCCGAUGAUGCGAACUUCGUCGUGAUGCGCAGUGGAACUCGCGAGGGUGGACAGCAAAGCCCCCAAUUGUUUUCUUCAUCGAAGUCGUCGUCUCCAUCCUCCAUGCUGUGUGCGCCCCCGCUUGCGCAGCCGACAACAGGUGCUGUGGUGGCUGAGAAGUAUGCACCGGCGCUUCAGGCACCACCCAGUCCGUUGCGGUUCAGCGUCUUGUACACCGAGGAAGAGCACCGCGUGCGGCUCGAGACGCGCGAGACGGAGGAGCGGCGAUGCCUGUAUCAAGCCCACAAGGCUGUGCUCUCGGUGUAUCGCAUGUGGGCCGCCGCGGGUGCCGACGCGGACUACGGCGACGGCGACAGACUGUUGCUGACGUCUUCGCGAAUGGACGAUGGUGCGUCGACGCGGUUUCUCGAGGACAACUGCUACCCGAAAGCUCCAAACGCGCCGAAUGCGAAGGCUGCCGGUCCCAGGGCGAAGCCAUCUCCUCUCGCGACCGCGACCGAGACCGCCGCCAACGCCGUUGCUGCAGAACGGGUGCGUUGUUUUUUGAAGUCGUCUAUUGACAGUGCCCGAGGUCGGCGUUGCCUCGGGCCUGCCCAGGAAGGCCGCGCCGCAAUUGACGUGCUGCCGCACCGAUCCACGACACCCCGCAUCACAUACGCAGGCUCUGACGCCGAGACACGCCGCGGCUCGCCUGGUCACGUGCCUCACCCACAGGCGUCCCACUCUUCUUCACCUGCUGCAUCUCGCAUGUUGGACUACUCAUCCGUGCAGAUGCCCCAGACAGCAUCAUCGCUCAUGCACAUUACAAGCGAACCACCGUCAUUGGUGCACCAAGCACGGCUGUUCUCGCCCUGGCGCGCCACUCACAGCGAUCAUCACGAUGCGGCGGCGCGGCACGCGGAAGGAAAGGCGGACGUGCAUCUAGAACCUCGUACAAGUCGGGAAGACGGUCGGGGUCGACCUCAAAGGAGGCAAAGAACGUCUCUAGUGCCCCACCUGGUGAGCACAUCACCUGCUGCCGUUCGCCUCUCAUCUGCUUCUCACUCUCUCGGCGCAUCAUCCGUGGCGCUGCGACGGCGCAGCCUGCUCGAGCCGCGGCUGUCGGCGGACACUACAGCGCCUCGCGAAGAUUUGCCAAGAAGCGCCGUGCUGCCCCCUGCACGCGCUGCCGCUGCCGCGCGAACCUCGUCACCGUCGCUUCGCACGGUCUUGUGCGCCGGCGUGGGGAACUUUUCAAGGAUCUCCACAGCCCAGACGGAGGGGCCUGGUGCGUCCCAGACCACGUCGAGCCCUGUGUGGAAUGCUAGCGUGAAUCUGGUUUCCACCUCGGCCGCGAGUUGCCACAUGAGCCCCUCCGCCGGAGAUGACACAACGGAUGAUCACGUUUCGGGAGGCGCCGUUCGCUACCCCUCCAACGAGGCGCUUCGACUUCGCCAGCGCGCUGCGUUGCCCGGCACCAGUAGCGGUGGCCUUCUGAGCAGCCCGCCGCAUGGCAUCGAUGCAGAUUGGAGGACAUUGCUGGCGGUGAAUCGCCUACAGGGCCACCGCCGUGAGCGACUCGGCAGCUACGUUCACUACAAGCGCUUCUUUGAUGCUGUCUACGGCGAGCAGAGCGCCUCACCUCUGGCUUCGCGCGAGCCGGAUGGGCGGCACAGCAGUGCAGUGCGGACUAGUCCCGUGCCCCCCCGCGCUGUGCGGACACGUCCAUUCAUGUCCUUUGACGUAGUUGACGGGGAUAAACAUGCGAGUGCGUGGCCGUGGCGGUCGUCGCUGUCCUCCUCCCUGUACCCACGAGCGCGGUCGCCUGAGCUGGUCGCUUAUCGCGACCUUCGCCGCUUUUCACCAAGCGGCUCAACGGCAGCCAGGUGCGCACCGGCGGCCCCAUCGAAAGAGCCUGCCACAUUUUGUGCAGGGCUCACGGGUGGCGCGGCUUCAUUAACUGUACCGGCUGACGCUACCCUCUUCGCUGCGCGUCUGACGCGCCUUUCCACGCUGGAGAAGCUAUGUCGCGCCGAGCUGCAGCGGCGCUGCAUGGAGGACCAAAGCCUCUUGCUGCACCACUUUAUUGUGAAAGGCACGGCAACCUUGCAGCGGGUCAGCCGUGCGACCGCCCCGCUGCACCGACACAGGCAGUGCGCGGCUGGAGGCACAACAGAGGCGUACCGAAUACCCUCCGCACGGACCUUCAUUCCGAACGAAGUGGAUGGGCUGUGAGCCCCAGUCGCAGCUGGCUGGUAUACAUUUUAAUUUAUAUAUUUUUUUGUCUGCGCUCCGCACUCCUCUCGAGGUGUUCUUUCGUCUUCCCCCCUCCGUCCCUCCCUCCCCUGCUCUGUUUCGGCAUGUGAACUCGCCGACCUUUGGCGACGGGGCGGGCUAGGAGAGGAGCCUCCGCGGAAGGUGGGGAAUAGAAUGGCGGCUCCGACUGGUGCAGUGCAACAGGUCCAGAGCCCGAGCGCGUGGCAACCACAUGUGUACACUUCUUUAGACGGCCGUGAGGUUUGCUCCUCUGAGACAUUGCGCACAAGCGCUUCGCAAACAAAAAGAAAGAAGAUGGGCACACACCCGUUGGAAAUGGCAACUGCUGUUUCAGGACGCUGAGCAGGAGGUGAGGGCCUGAUAGCUCCAGCUGCGCUUGAGGUCUUCACAGC